AUUUAUAUAAUAUGUGUGUAUACACAUAUAUGUGUGUAUGUACAUACAUACACACACAUAAACACACAUAUAUAAUCGCAAAAA
This 84-nucleotide microRNA precursor is filed under the name Mustela putorius furo (domestic ferret). RNAcentral describes it as "miRNA (ENSMPUG00000022163.1)". Lineage: Eukaryota; Metazoa; Chordata; Mammalia; Carnivora; Mustelidae. The record is from RNAcentral.